RNAcentral lists this ribosomal RNA (406 nucleotides) under uncultured bacterium. RNAcentral describes it as "partial 16S ribosomal RNA". It matches the Rfam family "Bacterial small subunit ribosomal RNA", at positions 30 to 526 of the family's 1533-position model. The record is from RNAcentral.
AUUGAACGCUGGCGGCAGGCCUAACACAUGCAAGUCGAACGAGCGGCGGACGGGUGAGUAAUGUAUGGGGAACUGCCCGAUGGAGGGGGAUAACUACUGGAAACGGUAGCUAAUACCGCAUACCAUCAGAUGUGCCCAGAUGGGAUUAGCUAGUAGGUGGGGUAACGGCUCACCAAGGCGACGAUCUCUAGCUGGUCUGAGAGGAUGAACAGCCACACUGGAACUGAGACACGGUCCAGACUCCUACGGGAGGCAGCAUUGGGGAAUAUUGCACAAUGGGCGCAAGCCUGAUGCAGCCAUGCCGCGUGUAUGAAGAAGGCCUUCGGGUUGUAAAGUACUUUCAGCGGGGAGGCGUUACCCGCAGAAGAAGCACCGGCUAACUCCGUGCCAGCAGCCGCGGUAAUUC